This 227-nucleotide ribosomal RNA is filed under the name Bacillus sp. (in: firmicutes). RNAcentral's name for it is "Bacillus sp. (in: Bacteria) partial 16S ribosomal RNA". It matches the Rfam family "Bacterial small subunit ribosomal RNA", at positions 563 to 787 of the family's 1533-position model. The record is from RNAcentral. Lineage: Bacteria; Bacillati; Bacillota; Bacilli; Caryophanales; Bacillaceae.
GUAAGGGCUCGCAGGCGGUUUCUUAAGUCUGAUGUGAAAGCCCCCGGCUCAACCGGGGAGGGUCAUUGGAAACUGGGAAACUUGAGUGCAGAAGAGGAGAGUGGAAUUCCACGUGUAGCGGUGAAAUGCGUAGAGAUGUGGAGGAACACCAGUGGCGAAGGCGACUCUCUGGUCUGUAACUGACGCUGAGGAGCGAAAGCGUGGGGAGCGAACAGGAUUAGAUACCC